This 253-nucleotide ribosomal RNA is filed under the name uncultured bacterium. RNAcentral's name for it is "partial 16S ribosomal RNA". It matches the Rfam family "Bacterial small subunit ribosomal RNA", at positions 524 to 776 of the family's 1533-position model. The record is from RNAcentral.
UACGUAGGGGGCAAGCGUUGUUCGGAAUUACUGGGCGUAAAGGGCGCGUAGGCGGCACGGCAAGUCGGGAGUGAAAGGCCUGGGCUCAACCGAGGAACUGCUUUCGAGACUGCCGAGCUAGAGUGCGGAAGGGGCAACUGGAAUUCCUGGUGUAGCGGUGAAAUGCGCAGAUAUCAGGAAGAACACCCGUGGCGAAGGCGGUUCUCUGGGACGGUACUGACGCUGAGACGCGAAAGCGUGGGGAGCGAACGGG